AAGCACGACCGGGCAGCCUGGACACCGAUCCAAGCAUUCAUCUGGCAGAUAAUAGGAAAACAGUCCUCAGCUUUGUAUCCAGUUGGAAUGCAAAAGUUCUCCCUAGGGAUGCUAGUGGAUCUGCUGUUCCAGAAGGAAAUGUCAGGCGAAGAUUUUAUCUUCGUGUGAGGGCUCAAAUGAAGAAUCAGGAACCAACUAAGAGAUUAAUUCGCCAAAUUACUACGGAGGUCUGUCAUGCC
This 239-nucleotide long non-coding RNA is filed under the name Homo sapiens (human). RNAcentral's name for it is "HSALNT0032787". Lineage: Eukaryota; Metazoa; Chordata; Mammalia; Primates; Hominidae. The record is from RNAcentral.